RNAcentral lists this transfer RNA (69 nucleotides) under Ictidomys tridecemlineatus (thirteen-lined ground squirrel). RNAcentral describes it as "Spermophilus tridecemlineatus (thirteen-lined ground squirrel) tRNA". It matches the Rfam family "tRNA". From Rfam's summary of the family: Transfer RNA (tRNA) molecules are approximately 80 nucleotides in length. Lineage: Eukaryota; Metazoa; Chordata; Mammalia; Rodentia; Sciuridae. The record is from Rfam by way of RNAcentral.
GUGAGUGUAGUGCAGUGGUAGAGCAUAUGCCUCGCACGCAUAAGGACCUGGUUUGAUCCCAGCAUCACU